Molecule: ribosomal RNA, 323 nt
Filed under: uncultured Pedomicrobium sp.
Lineage: Bacteria; Pseudomonadati; Pseudomonadota; Alphaproteobacteria; Hyphomicrobiales; Hyphomicrobiaceae
Description: bacterial SSU rRNA
Rfam family: Bacterial small subunit ribosomal RNA
Source: RNAcentral
UGGGGAAUAUUGGACAAUGGGCGCAAGCCUGAUCCAGCCAUGCCGCGUGAGUGACGAAGGCCUUAGGGUUGUAAAGCUCUUUUGGCGGGGAAGAUAAUGACGGUACCCGCAGAAUAAGCUCCGGCUAACUUCGUGCCAGCAGCCGCGGUAAUACGAAGGGAGCUAGCGUUGUUCGGAAUCACUGGGCGUAAAGCGCAUGUAGGCGGAUGUGUCAGUCAGGGGUGAAAUCCCGGAGCUCAACUUCGGAACUGCCCUUGAUACAGCACGUCUCGAGUCCGAGAGAGGUGAGUGGAAUUCCUAGUGUAGAGGUGAAAUUCGUAGAU